GCAAACUUGGUCAUUUAGAGGAAGUAAAAGUCGUAACAAGGUUUCCGUAGGUGAACCUGCGGAAGGAUCAUUACAGUGCUCGUCGGUACGUCGCGUCCCCAAAAAGGCGUCGACGUGCCGCACCUGCCACCCGUGUUUACCUUUUCCAUUGUUGCCUCGGCGGGCCCGCCGGACGUACCCACGUCCGGCCACCGGGGGGUUAUCGCGUACCUACGCGGUCCCCUGGUCCGCGCCCGUCAGAGGACCCUUAUUGAACCCUGUGAAUGUAGUGUUGUCUGAGCGUAUUAGCGAAUACAGUUAAAACUUUCAACAACGGAUCUCUUGGUUCUGGCAUCGAUGAAGAACGCAGC
Molecule: unclassified non-coding RNA, 350 nt
Filed under: uncultured fungus
Lineage: Eukaryota; Fungi
Description: partial contains small subunit ribosomal RNA, internal transcribed spacer 1, and 5.8S ribosomal RNA
Rfam family: Eukaryotic small subunit ribosomal RNA (bases 1-73)
Source: RNAcentral